GCAGCGGCGGACGGGUGAGUAAUGCCUAGGAAUCUGCCUGGUAGUGGGGGACAACGUCUCGAAAGGGACGCUAAUACCGCAUACGUCCUACGGGAGAAAGUGGGGGCUCUUCGGACCUCACGCUAUCAGAUGAGCCUAGGUCGGAUUAGCUAGUUGGUGAGGUAAUGGCUCACCAAGGCGACGAUCCGUAACUGGUCUGAGAGGAUGAUCAGUCACACUGGAACUGAGACACGGUCCAGACUCUAUACGGGAGGCAGCAGUGGGGAAUAUUGGACAAUGGGCGAAAGCCUGAUCCAGCCAUGCCGCGUGUGUGAAGAAGGUCUUCGGAUUGUAAAGCACUUUAAGUUGGGAGGAAGGGUUGUACGUUAAUACCGUGCAAUUUUGACGUUACCGACAGAAUAAGCACCGGCUAACUCUGUGCCAGCAGCCGCGGUAAUACAGAGGGUGCAAGCGUUAAUCGGAAUUACUGGGCGUAAAGCGCGCGUAGGUGGUUUGUUAAGUUGGAUGUGAAAUCCCCGGGCUCAACCUGGGAACUGCAUCCAAAACUGGCAAGCUAGAGUAGGGCAGAGGGUGGUGGAAUUUCCUGUGUAGCGGUGAAAUG
Molecule: ribosomal RNA, 601 nt
Filed under: Pseudomonas sp. hata56
Lineage: Bacteria; Pseudomonadati; Pseudomonadota; Gammaproteobacteria; Pseudomonadales; Pseudomonadaceae
Description: bacterial SSU rRNA
Rfam family: Bacterial small subunit ribosomal RNA
Source: RNAcentral